This 433-nucleotide ribosomal RNA is filed under the name uncultured bacterium. RNAcentral describes it as "partial 16S ribosomal RNA". It matches the Rfam family "Bacterial small subunit ribosomal RNA", at positions 29 to 507 of the family's 1533-position model. The record is from RNAcentral.
AACGAACGCUGGCGGCAUGCCUAACACAUGCAAGUCGAACGAGACCUUCGGGUCUAGUGGCGCACGGGUGCGUAACGCGUGGGAACCUGCCCUUAGGUUCGGAAUAACUCCCCGAAAGGGGUGCUAAUACCGGAUAAUGUCUUCGGACCAAAGAUUUAUCGCCUUUGGAUGGGCCCGCGUUGGAUUAGCUAGUUGGUAGGGUAAAAGCCUACCAAGGCGACGAUCCAUAGCUGGUCUGAGAGGAUGAUCAGCCACACUGGGACUGAGACACGGCCCAGACUCCUACGGGAGGCAGCAGUGGGGAAUAUUGGACAAUGGGGGAAAGCCUGAUCCAGCAAUGCCGGGUGAGUGAUGAAGGCCUUAGGGUUGUAAAGCUCUUUGACCCGGGAUGAUAAUGACAGUACCGGGAGAAUAAGCUCCGGCGAACUCCGUG